Molecule: ribosomal RNA, 349 nt
Filed under: uncultured bacterium
Lineage: Bacteria
Description: partial 16S ribosomal RNA
Rfam family: Bacterial small subunit ribosomal RNA
Source: RNAcentral
CCUACGGGAGGCAGCAGUGGGGGAUAUUGCACAAUGGGGGGAACCCUGAUGCAGCGACGCCGCGUGGGUGAAGGAGCGUUUCGGCGCGUAAAGCCCUAUCGGCAGGGAAGAAGAUGACGGUACCUGACCAAGAAGCCCCGGCUAACUACGGGCCAGCAGCCGCGGGAAUACGAAGGGGGCAAGCGUGAUCCGGAUUUACUGGGUGGAAAGGGGGCGCCGCCGGCACUGCAAGCCAGGAGGGAAAGCCCGGGGCCCAACCCCGGGACUGCUCGUGGAACUGCAUGGCUGGAGUACAGGAGGGGCAGGCGGACUUCCUAGUGUAGCGGUGACCUGCGUAGGUCUUAGGCGG